This 72-nucleotide transfer RNA is filed under the name Camelus bactrianus (Bactrian camel). It matches the Rfam family "tRNA". Rfam says of the family: Transfer RNA (tRNA) molecules are approximately 80 nucleotides in length. Their secondary structure includes four short double-helical elements and three loops (D, anti-codon, and T loops). RNAcentral also lists the same sequence under 2 other names. The record is from Rfam by way of RNAcentral. Lineage: Eukaryota; Metazoa; Chordata; Mammalia; Artiodactyla; Camelidae.
UGGAGUGUAGCUCAGUGGUAGAGUGCCUGCUUAGUAUGCAUGAGGUCCUGGGCUCAAUCCCCAGUAUCCCCA